GACGAACGCUGGCGGCGUGCUUAACACAUGCAAGUCGAACGGAAAGGCCCUGCUUUUGUGGGGUGCUCGAGUGGCGAACGGGUGAGUAACACGUGAGUAACCUGCCCUUGACUUUGGGAUAACUUCAGGAAACUGGGGCUAAUACCGGAUAGGAGCUCCUGCUGCAUGGUGGGGGUUGGAAAGUUUCGGCGGUUGGGGAUGGACUCGCGGCUUAUCAGCUUGUUGGUGGGGUAGUGGCUUACCCAGGCUUUGACGGGUAGCCGGCCUGAGAGGGUGAACGGCGACAAUGGUACUACGGUAGGGCGCAGACUGCAACGGGGGGCAACAGGGGAGAAUAUUGCACAAUGGUGGGGAGUGUGAUGAAGAGACGCUGCGUGCGGGAUGACGGCCUUGUUGUGAGAAACCGCUGUAGGCUGUGACGAAGCUUUAGUGACGGUAAUGGGUGAAGAAGCACCGGCUAACUACGUG
RNAcentral lists this ribosomal RNA (468 nucleotides) under uncultured bacterium. RNAcentral describes it as "partial 16S ribosomal RNA". It matches the Rfam family "Bacterial small subunit ribosomal RNA", at positions 28 to 507 of the family's 1533-position model. The record is from RNAcentral.